RNAcentral lists this unclassified non-coding RNA (691 nucleotides) under Hevea brasiliensis (rubber tree). Lineage: Eukaryota; Viridiplantae; Streptophyta; Magnoliopsida; Malpighiales; Euphorbiaceae. The record is from RNAcentral.
AGAAACCAUACCCUGGAAAACCAGCCAUUCCCUGUUCAACCAUUGUCAAAUUCUAGUUCUCUAGAAGCCAGAGUUUCUCCCUCUCGGCCCCCCAAGUUCUUCAUCAGACGGGGAAGAAGACGAUCCCCAUGGCUUUCAACCAAACCAACAAUCGUCUUUGAAGACCGAACCGAGCUUCUUCACCUCAGACCAUGGAGCUUCAGGUGUCUGAACCCGCCUCGGAUUUCGUCGAUAAUAGUAAGAGGAAGAAUUUGGAGGGCCCAACUGGUGAUCGGCUUCGUGUGAAGAAGAAGACCUUGCAGGCUGUGCUGGAGCAGUGUCAGAGAGCUCUUGAAUCGCUGAAUGAUUCCGAUGGUCUAGAUGAAAACGAGGGGAAUGAUGUGGAUGACGAUGACGAUGAUCGGGGAGGUGAUGGUUCAGGGUCUGUGCGCGGUGACCGGGAAGCCGACGAGUUGUGUGAUCUUCUUAAAUCUAAAGUUGAAUGCCGUGACUUUCUUGAAAAGCUAGAGGAUGCUCAAGCAUCAGUUCCACAAAAUACAAUUGAAGAAUGUAGUUCUUGGGAUUUGGUCAGUGAUGUGGAUCUAUGGGAAAGUGGUGAUGCUCUAGAUCAAGAAGGUUAUGUCGUUGUGAAGCAAGAGGAUAUAGUUGAUGGUAUUGCUUGUUUCAUGGCUGCAUACUUAUUGUCCUUAAA